AGCCCUUGUGUCUGUUUUUGUCUAAGUUUUGAACUAAGACUUACAGAAGUGCAAAAAAAUAAAUGGUCUUUUGCAAGCCAGAACUCAAGUGUUCACAAUGAAUUUGACACAUGUUAGAGGGAAUAGA
Cavia porcellus (domestic guinea pig) is the source of this 127-nucleotide small nucleolar RNA. It matches the Rfam family "Small nucleolar RNA SNORA40". From Rfam's summary of the family: The snoRNA ACA 40 belongs to the H/ACA family of snoRNAs and guides the pseudouridylation of 28S rRNA subunit at position U4565. NB This family has a high threshold value to exclude a large number of closely related sequences that do not appear to have conserved H and ACA boxes, and may be pseudogenes. Lineage: Eukaryota; Metazoa; Chordata; Mammalia; Rodentia; Caviidae. The record is from Rfam.